CAAUAGCGUAUAUUUAAGUUGUUGCAGUUAAAAAGCUCGUAGUUGGAUUUCGGAUGGGACUUGCCGGUCCGUCGUUUCGAUGUGCACUGGCCAGUCCUAUCUUGUUGUCGGGGACUAGCUCCUGGGCUUCACUGUCCGGGACUAGGAGCUGACGAGGUUACUUUGAGUAAAUUAGAGUGUUUAAAGCAAGCCUACGCUCUGAAUACAUUAGCAUGGAAUAACACGAUAGGACUCUGGCUUAUCUUGUUGGUCUGUGAGACCAGAGUAAUGAUUAAGAGGGACAGUCGGGGGCAUUCGUAUUUCAUUGUCAGAGGUGAAAUUCUUGGAUUUAUGAAAGACGAACUUCUGCGAAAGCAUUUGUCAAGGAUGUUUUCAUUAA
RNAcentral lists this ribosomal RNA (379 nucleotides) under uncultured eukaryote. RNAcentral describes it as "partial 18S ribosomal RNA". It matches the Rfam family "Eukaryotic small subunit ribosomal RNA", at positions 592 to 976 of the family's 1831-position model. The record is from RNAcentral.